This is a long non-coding RNA of Plodia interpunctella (Indianmeal moth), 1301 nucleotides long. RefSeq lists it as uncharacterized. The record is from RefSeq and is a predicted model, not a curated record. The transcript is spliced from 2 exons. Lineage: Eukaryota; Metazoa; Arthropoda; Insecta; Lepidoptera; Pyralidae.
AUAUUUUAUUGACAACUUGUUAUUUAACGCGUGACGAAAAUUCCUAACCGUGCUGUAAAUACGUGAGUCAGUUAUACAUAGGUAUAUGAGUAAAAUCGAUAUGAAAACUUAUGUGGAUACAAAUCCGAGACUUGUCGAUUAAAUGCGAGCUUAUUAACCACCGGGUUGCCACUGCUUAAUUGAUAAUGGUUUCAGACGAUGUCGGAUCCUAUGACAGACAAGCUAUCAAAUAGGUAAAAUUUCUGAGGCGAUGGGACGUAUUAAUUCGCUUUGUUGUUGAUAAUAUAUUUUAGAGGGCUCAAUAAUUGCUUAAAUGUACUCAUUAGUUCGACAAAGAUUCAUUCGUUCUAUCAAAAUAAGUAAUUAACGGAAACAUGAUGACCAAUCAUUGAAUUAUUGCCAAUUAAAAACAUUAUAAUUUGCGCCAUACUAAGUGACACCAACCUAAUCAGUUUGUUUUCAAGCGGUCAUGUUUUGGCGACAUACGAGUAUCAUCACACUAUGGCUGCACCAAAUGAUUCACAGUUACAAGUUCCCUGACCCGAUAAAAUGGAACAAAUGCGACAUGUGUGUAUGCGGGAGUGAUGGCAACACUUACAUAGACGACUGGCAUCUACUCAUUGCCCGGUUAACUAACCCAUACUUGACACAAUCUCACUUUGGACCCUGUUGGAGCCCGUCACAAGAAAACCAGAACCAUUACAUCGUAGAAAGAUCAUAUGGGAUACCAGAAGAUGCACCAUUGCAAAUUCUUUACACAUCGUCGCUCGAAGACCUAGAUCUGACUACUUUUGUAAUGAAAAAAACUGAAACGGAUAAGAAGGUGAAUCAAUUACAGCAAACGAUUGAUGAAAACAAAUCACGGAUGUUGAAAAGACUGCAUAAGCAUAGGAGAAAAAUAAGAAAACCUUAUAUGCCCGCAUAUUAUUUUAAAAUUCCAUACAAUUAUUAUUAUUAUGAUAGCUGAUCUUUGUAUAGAAAAUUCUGAUGUCUACAUGUAUAUAUAUAAUACUUAACAUAUACAUUAUAUAACUAGUUUUUGCCCACAACUUCGUAUGUGAGUAAAAAUCCCCGUGGGAAUUUCAGAAAAUCCCAUCUUAGUGCUCCUCUACUGUCCUAGGAAUCUACACACCAAAUUUCAGCUUUCUACGCCCAGUAGUUUCGACUGUGCGUUGUCUGUCAGUCAGUCACUCGGUAAUGCAAGCGUUUUAUAUAUACAUAUUAGUGUGAGACUUUUAAUCACAUAUAAAUAACAGUAUGGGUGUACUUGUUUCGAAUUAAAAACGUGAUCAUAAAUUUCA